UGUGCUGCAAAGAAUGAAUGCUGCAAUACCUGUCUUGGUACUUGAGGGUAGAACAGCAAGCAGGGUAAAGGAGGAAGGCUAGUGAGAGAGUUGGCUCUGAAAUCCUCUCAGGAGUGGCCAAGUCUGUCAGGAGUGAUAUAGAGCCACAGGUGGUGAGCCCUGAGUGUAGGAUGAGGCAUUUCAGGGAGAGAGCCAAAGGGAUACUGACAGGUCUUGCUUGAGGAAGGCUGAAUUUGGGUUAAGUUGUACCUUUGGGGUUUGAGAUUUACUGGGGGAUUUGGGAGAACCUUGGGAGCUCUGACAGCAGGGUGAACCUAGAGAGGUAGUGGGGAGACUGCCUAGUAAAAGGCUAUGGUGGAAAGAAGCCUAGAGAGGCAGCAGGGCUUGGUUUGACUAGACAGACCUUGCCUGCUUGCUACAGGAUCCCUGGACUGGAACCCAGAGUUGAGAGCAGCAAUGGGUUCCUCCAUCCACUGCUGGAAAAAGGUAGUGUGCAAAGCCCCUUCUGGCCCUCUCCCCAGAUAUAAAGGGAUAAGGACACUCACAGCCCGGAGCCAAAAGGGUGUGAGGACCUUAGGGCUCAGUCAAGCCUGAAGACAUGUUGUAAAGACAUUGGAGUGUGUAUUUGUUGGACUCUAGUUCCACCCCUAUUGGGGUAACAGAGUGUGACCUGGUUGGAGGACUGAGUCAUUGGAAGAGAGACCACCACAGGACUGGAGUGACAGUUGGCAGGGGGUACUAGCAGGGAAAAGAGCUGCUACACCAUACCCAGCCUCAGUGGGGCACUCCAGUGCACCACCUCAGACAGUGAAUUCUUCUGAAGCCGCUGAGAGCCUUCACAAAUUUUGGAGGUGGUCUUAGUAGCUGUAGCACAGGAAGAAAGGCAUCUUCAGACUCCGUCACAAUUUCUUGGAACCUGCCCCUACGUCCAACACAAAUUGUUACAACAUUAAUAAAUACCCCACUGCCGUUAGAGAGACAACCUGAACUAGCUUUCUCACAAUACAAAUGUGUGCUAUGUACUGUAUUUUUUAUUCUAAACAUAGUUCAUGUUAUGAAGUUUUCUCCUCAGACAUUCUCCAGCCCUUGGCUAGAGUGAGUAGGAAACAUAACAAUGCAAUGCAUAAUAACUUAGCACAGUAACCUUGCUGUGGUGUGGAAAGUUGUGGAAAUACAAUAAAAACGAGCUCUUUGUA
This is a long non-coding RNA of Chelonia mydas (Green sea turtle), 1196 nucleotides long. RefSeq lists it as uncharacterized. The record is from RefSeq and is a predicted model, not a curated record. The transcript has 3 exons. Lineage: Eukaryota; Metazoa; Chordata; Testudines; Cheloniidae.